CAAGACAUAACUUAUUAGUUAAAGUAUUUCAUUUACGCUGAAAAUUUUUCUGUGCAAUUCAGGAUGUUUUGA
Molecule: transfer RNA, 72 nt
Filed under: Ommatolampis quadrimaculata
Lineage: Eukaryota; Metazoa; Arthropoda; Insecta; Orthoptera; Acrididae
Description: tRNA-Val
Rfam family: tRNA
About the family: Transfer RNA (tRNA) molecules are approximately 80 nucleotides in length.
Source: RNAcentral